This 20-nucleotide non-coding RNA is filed under the name Arabidopsis thaliana (thale cress). The record is from RNAcentral. Lineage: Eukaryota; Viridiplantae; Streptophyta; Magnoliopsida; Brassicales; Brassicaceae.
ACCCUCCAACUGAACUGGUC